RNAcentral lists this long non-coding RNA (2492 nucleotides) under Homo sapiens (human). RNAcentral's name for it is "HSALNT0196563". The record is from RNAcentral. Lineage: Eukaryota; Metazoa; Chordata; Mammalia; Primates; Hominidae.
CCAGUCCCUGGAGCAGUGGCUGGCACUCAGGAGGACCUCACCUGUCAGAGCACAGGAGCCUGGAGGGCCAUUGAAGAGGAGAGGAGCCUGUACGCCCUGUUUCAAGAACCUGAGAGCUGGGCUCAGAAACGGGCAGCGGCUGGACCAAGGUCACACAGCAAGUUGGUUGCUCAGCCAGAGUCAGCACAGGGCGGGGUGAACUCCAAAGCCCCGGGGCCCCAGUGAGGGGGUAGCAUGAGCCAGGUGGAGACUGGGGCAAGGUAGAAACCUCCAGGGCUAGCCAGAGGGAGUGGCCACGAUGCAGCAUCACUGGACUGUAGCCAUAUGGGGGGCGGGCACAGGCCUGAGUAGUGAGGGGGAUCUUCCUGGCCUGCCUUAUACUCGUGUCCCCACAAAAUCCCCCUACAGCCCAGGAGUCACAGGUACCGCCUGGGGGGUCAGCACCGUCCAUGCACAGUGUGUGUGUUGUGCACUGUACAAAGGCACUCACUGAAGAGGCAGUGGGGGUGAUCCCAGGCCUUGCUUGACUACUCAUCCUGGAAGAACUGAUUUUCAUAAUGUAUCCACCCAAAGGGCUCUUUUUUCUUUUCUUUUCUCUUCCUUUCUUGCUCUCUUUCUUUCUAUAUGGCCUUGCUCUGUCACUCAGGCUGGAGUGCAGUGGUGCAAUCAUGGCUUGCUGCAGCCUCAACCUCCCAGGCUCAGGUGAUCCUCCUGCCUCAGCCUCCCGAGUAGCUGGGAUUACAGGUAUGUGCCACCACACCCAACUAGUUUUUAAAAUUUUUUGUAGAGAUGGGGUCUUGCUCUGUUGCCCAGGCUGGUCUUGAAGUCCUGGGCUCAAGAGUCCUGGACUCUUGGUGUUCCCAAAUGCUGGGAUUACAGGCCUGAGCCACCGCGCCCAGCCUGGGGCCUCUUUUUUCUAAUUCCCGCAUGGUGCUGGGUCAGUUUGCGACCCCUAAGAAGCAGAUGCCCAGGUGAGAUUAGACAUGCAGGAGGCUGACUGGGGGAAAGGGCUCUGGGGGGAAAAGGAACGGCGAGGGGGAAGGGAAAUCCUUCAAGCCGUCGUGCUGGGCCAGCCCCUGUGCAGGAGAGAGGGAGGGAAUGAAGUUGGAGUAGGAGGAGCUUCAGGCUGCAGACAGUUCUAAGGUUUUUGCCCCGGCCAAUGGGGAGUCCUGAGGCCAAGAUCCCCUCCCGGAGGGUCCCGCAUGGCGCUGGGAUGGACCUGCCUUUAUUUCCCUUCCUGCUUGCUCAGUGGCAGGAAGCACCCAUGGGGAGCUUGGCGUAACGCAGGUGCAGGUGAUUUAGAGCCCGGCACCUGCCAUACACGCCCCGAGGGGGCCACUUGCAAGGUCACCACAUGUGCCCAUGAAUAUGUUAUUUGCUAGUAGACAAAGUAACUACUAUGUUAGUUAUUUGCUGGAGGCACCCCUGUGCGGGAAGACAGAGUUGGAAACAGUCUUUGUACAAGCCUAAGAGUUCUUUGAGGCAGGGUAGCCGUGCAAGCAGUUUUGCAUUCUGUAUCAUAAUAAAUCUGAAAUUGUUGGCCGGGUGCGGUGGCUCACGCCUGAAAUCCUAGCACUUUGGGAGGCUAAGGCAGGUGGAUCGCUUCAGCUCAGGAAUUCAGCUCAGGACUUUGAGACCACCCUGGGCAACAUGGUGAAACCCUAUCUCUACAAAAAAUACAAAAAUUAGCUGGGUAUGGUGGCAUGUGUCUAUAGUUCCAGCUGACUGGGGAUCUGAGGUGAGAGGAUCAUGUGAGCCCAGGAGGUUGAGGCUGCGGUGAGCCGUGAUUGCGCCACUGCACUCUAGCCUGGGUGACAAAGUGAAACCCUGUCUCAAAAACAUAAAAAUAAAUAAAUACAUCUGAAAUUGUUGCAACAUAAAAAUCGUUUUCUCGCUGUUGUCCUUGAAACUUUCCCUACGCUAUGGUAUGUCGGCCUUCUGCCCGAGGGGGGUACAUGGUCUUGUACAAUGUAUCUGUUUCUCAUUGUUGUGUGACACAUUGCCACAGACUUAGUGGCUUAAAACAACACCCAUUUAUUCUCUUACACUUAUGGAGGUCAGAGGUCCAAAAUGAGUCUCAUGGGAUUAAAAUCAAGGGUUGACAGGGCUGGUUCCUUCCAGAAGCUCCAGAGGAGGAUCUGUUCCUUGCUUCUCCCAGCUCCUGAGGCCACCUGCAUUCCUUGGGCUGUUACCCCUUUUUCCAUCUUAAUCAUCAACAUAGCACGUCUGUCCUCUCUGAACUGUCUCCCUUUUAUAGGGCCCUGUGUGAUUCUGCUGACCCAUCUGGAUAACCCAGGGUCAUCUCCCCGGCUCAAGAUCCUUAACAGAAUCGCAUCUGCCAAGUCCCUUUUGCUAGGCCUGCUCCUUCUGGGAGUCCACAGUUCCUGCUCCUAUGUGGGCAGCAUCCGUUCUCCUGUUGCUGGUACCAGCUUCCCUCCUGCUCUCAGACCACCUGCCACAGGCCAAGCUGACCAUCCUCCCCUCCUCCCCAG